CGGCGUGCUUACACAUGCAAGUCGAACGAUGAACCACCUUCGGGUGGGGAUUAGUGGCGAACGGGUGAGUAACACGUGGGCAAUCUGCCCUGCACUCUGGGACAAGCCCUGGAAACGGGGUCUAAUACCGGAUACUGAGCCUCGCAGGCAUCUGCGGGGUUCGAAAGCUCCGGCGGUGCAGGAUGAGCCCGCGGCCUAUCAGCUUGUUGGUGAGGUAACGGCUCACCAAGGCGACGACGGGUAGCCGGCCUGAGAGGGCGACCGGCCACACUGGGACUGAGACACGGCCCAGACUCCUACGGGAGGCAGCAGUGGGGAAUAUUGCACAAUGGGCGAAAGCCUGAUGCAGCGACGCCGCGUGAGGGAUGACGGCCUUCGGGUUGUAAACCUCUUUCAGCAGGGAAGAAGCGAGAGUGACGGUACCUGCAGAAGAAGCGCCGGCUAACUACGUGCCAGCAGCCGCGGUAAUACGUAGGGCGCGAGCGUUGUCCGGAAUUAUUGGGCGUAAAGAGCUCGUAGGCGGCUUGUCGCGUCGGUUGUGAAAGCCCGGGGCUUAACCCCGGGUCUGCAGUCGAUACGGGCAGGCUAGAGUUCGGUAGGGGAGAUCGGAAUUCCUGGUGUAGCGGUGAAAUGCGCAGAUAUCAGGAGGAACACCGGUGGCGAAGGCGGAUCUCUGGGCCGAUACUGACGCUGAGGAGCGAAAGCGUGGGGAGCGAACAGGAUUAGAUACCCUGGUAGUCCACGCCGUAAACGGUGGGCACUAGGUGUGGGCGACAUUCCACGUCGUCCGUGCCGCAGCU
RNAcentral lists this ribosomal RNA (800 nucleotides) under Streptomyces sp. D188. Its description in RNAcentral is "bacterial SSU rRNA". It matches the Rfam family "Bacterial small subunit ribosomal RNA", at positions 40 to 853 of the family's 1533-position model. The record is from RNAcentral. Lineage: Bacteria; Bacillati; Actinomycetota; Actinomycetes; Kitasatosporales; Streptomycetaceae.